This is a non-coding RNA of Acanthosepion pharaonis, 108 nucleotides long. The record is from the annotation of a GenBank genome assembly. Lineage: Eukaryota; Metazoa; Mollusca; Cephalopoda; Sepiida; Sepiidae.
CCACAUCAUGUUGAAACACUGGUUCUUAUAUGAUCACUGAAGUUAAGCAACAUUGAGCUUGAGCGGUACUUCGAUGAGUGAAUGCUUGGGAAUACCAGGUGCUGUAAG